This 144-nucleotide unclassified non-coding RNA is filed under the name uncultured Mortierella. RNAcentral's name for it is "sequence contains ITS1". The record is from RNAcentral. Lineage: Eukaryota; Fungi; Mortierellomycota; Mortierellomycetes; Mortierellales; Mortierellaceae.
UAAUAAGUGUUUUAUGGCACUUUUUAAAUCCAUAUCCACCUUGUGUGCAAUGUCAGUCGAUCUUCUUCAUGGAGAUCGGCCAAACAUCAACCUUAUUUUUUAACUCUUUGUCUGAAAAACCUGUAUGAAUACUUAAUUCAAAUA